RNAcentral lists this ribosomal RNA (804 nucleotides) under uncultured bacterium. Its description in RNAcentral is "bacterial SSU rRNA". It matches the Rfam family "Bacterial small subunit ribosomal RNA", at positions 67 to 860 of the family's 1533-position model. The record is from RNAcentral.
CGGCAGCACAGGAGAGCUUGCUCUCUGGGUGGCGAGUGGCGGACGGGUGAGGAAUCAUCGGAAUCUACUCUGUCGUGGGGGAUAACGUAGGGAAACUUACGCUAAUACCGCAUACGACCUACGGGUGAAAGUGGGGGACCGCAAGGCCUCACGCGAUUGAAUGAGCCGAUGUCGGAUUAGCUAGUUGGCGGGGUAAAGGCCCACCAAGGCGACGAUCCGUAGCUGGUCUGAGAGGAUGAUCAGCCACACUGGAACUGAGACACGGUCCAGACUCCUACGGGAGGCAGCAGUGGGGAAUAUUGGACAAUGGGCGCAAGCCUGAUCCAGCCAUACCGCGUGAGUGAAGAAGGCCCUCGGGUUGUAAAGCUCUUUUGUUGGGAAAGAAAUCCUGUUGGCUAAUACCCGGCGGGGAUGACGGUACCCAAAGAAUAAGCACCGGCUAACUUCGUGCCAGCAGCCGCGGUAAUACGAAGGGUGCAAGCGUUACUCGGAAUUACUGGGCGUAAAGCGUGCGUAGGUGGUUGCUUAAGUCUGUCGUGAAAGCCCUGGGCUCAACCUGGGAAUUGCGAUGGAUACUGGGCGACUAGAGUGUGGUAGAGGGUGGCGGAAUUCCCGGUGUAGCAGUGAAAUGCGUAGAGAUCGGGAGGAACAUCCGUGGCGAAGGCGGCCACCUGGGCCAACACUGACACUGAGGCACGAAAGCGUGGGGAGCAAACAGGAUUAGAUACCCUGGUAGUCCACGCCCUAAACGAUGCGAACUGGAUGUUGGGUUCAACUUGGAACCCAGUAUCGAAGCUAACGCGU